Molecule: ribosomal RNA, 427 nt
Filed under: uncultured bacterium
Lineage: Bacteria
Description: bacterial SSU rRNA
Rfam family: Bacterial small subunit ribosomal RNA
Source: RNAcentral
UGGGGAAUUUUGGACAAUGGGCGCAAGCCUGAUCCAGCCAUGCCGCGUGAGUGAAGAAGGCCUUCGGGUUGUAAAGCUCUUUCAGACGGAAAGAAAUCCCUUGGGCGAAUACCCUGGGAGGAUGACGGUACCGUAAGAAGAAGCACCGGCUAACUACGUGCCAGCAGCCGCGGUAAUACGUAGGGUGCGAGCGUUAAUCGGAAUUACUGGGCGUAAAGCGUGCGCAGGCGGUUUAGUAAGACAGGCGUGAAAUCCCCGGGCUCAACCUGGGAACUGCGCUUGUGACUGCUAAGCUAGAGUACGGCAGAGUGGGGUGGAAUUCCACGUGUAGCAGUGAAAUGCGUAGAGAUGUGGAGGAACACCGAUGGCGAAGGCAGCCCCCUGGGCCGAUACUGACGCUCAUGCACGAAAGCGUGGGGAGCAAACA